AAGCUCACGCAGCCAGACUUGUCGGCGGUGUUCCGCCGGUCUUCUGACCGGUCUAUUCGCCGCCGGCAGGCCAGCAUCACUUGGGAGCGCCGGAUAAAGGCGUGCGGAAUGUAGCCCCUCGGGGCAUUAUAGCCGCGCGCACAAUACGGCGCCUCCCGAGUGAGGUCCGCGCUUCGGCUAGGAUGCUGGCGUAAUGGUUGCUUGAGG
RNAcentral lists this ribosomal RNA (207 nucleotides) under Hortaea werneckii. Its description in RNAcentral is "partial large subunit ribosomal RNA". The record is from RNAcentral. Lineage: Eukaryota; Fungi; Ascomycota; Dothideomycetes; Mycosphaerellales; Teratosphaeriaceae.